UAGGGAAUCUUCCGCAAUGGGCGAAAGCUUGACGGAGCAACGCCGCGUGAGUGAUGAAGGUCUUCGGAUCGUAAAACUCUGUUAUUAGGGAAGAACAAAUGUGUAAGUAACUAUGCACGUCUUGACGGUACCUAAUCAGAAAGCCACGGCUAACUACGUGCCAGCAGCCGCGGUAAUACGUAGGUGGCAAGCGUUAUCCGGAUUUAUUGGGCGUAAAGCGAGCGCAGGCGGUCAAUUAAGUCUGAUGUGAAAGCCCCCGGCUCAACCGGGGAGGGUCAUUGGAAACUGGUUGACUUGAGUGCAGAAGAGGAGAGUGGAAUUCCAUGUGUAGCGGUGAAAUGCGUAGAUAUAUGGAGGAACACCAGUGGCGAAGGCGACUCUCUGGUCUGUAACUGACGCUGAGGCUCGAAAGCGUGGGUAGCAAACAGG
This 429-nucleotide ribosomal RNA is filed under the name Bacteroidota bacterium. Its description in RNAcentral is "Bacteroidetes bacterium partial 16S ribosomal RNA". It matches the Rfam family "Bacterial small subunit ribosomal RNA", at positions 355 to 776 of the family's 1533-position model. Lineage: Bacteria; Pseudomonadati; Bacteroidota. The record is from RNAcentral.